This 1504-nucleotide ribosomal RNA is filed under the name Helicobacter pylori. Its description in RNAcentral is "bacterial SSU rRNA". It matches the Rfam family "Bacterial small subunit ribosomal RNA". The record is from RNAcentral. Lineage: Bacteria; Pseudomonadati; Campylobacterota; Epsilonproteobacteria; Campylobacterales; Helicobacteraceae.
UUUAUGGAGAGUUUGAUCCUGGCUCAGAGUGAACGCUGGCGGCGUGCCUAAUACAUGCAAGUCGAACGAUGAAGCUUCUAGCUUGCUAGAGUGCUGAUUAGUGGCGCACGGGUGAGUAACGCAUAGGUUAUGUGCCUCUUAGUUUGGGAUAGCCAUUGGAAACGAUGAUUAAUACCAGAUACUCCCUAUGGGGGAAAGAUUUAUCGCUAAGAGAUCAGCCUAUGUCCUAUCAGCUUGUUGGUAAGGUAAUGGCUUACCAAGGCUAUGACGGGUAUCCGGCCUGAGAGGGUGAACGGACACACUGGAACUGAGACACGGUCCAGACUCCUACGGGAGGCAGCAGUAGGGAAUAUUGCUCAAUGGGGGAAACCCUGAAGCAGCAACGCCGCGUGGAGGAUGAAGGUUUUAGGAUUGUAAACUCCUUUUGUUAGAGAAGAUAAUGACGGUAUCUAACGAAUAAGCACCGGCUAACUCCGUGCCAGCAGCCGCGGUAAUACGGAGGGUGCAAGCGUUACUCGGAAUCACUGGGCGUAAAGAGCGCGUAGGCGGGAUAGUCAGUCAGGUGUGAAAUCCUAUGGCUUAACCAUAGAACUGCAUUUGAAACUACUAUUCUAGAGUGUGGGAGAGGUAGGUGGAAUUCUUGGUGUAGGGGUAAAAUCCGUAGAGAUCAAGAGGAAUACUCAUUGCGAAGGCGACCUGCUGGAACAUUACUGACGCUGAUUGCGCGAAAGCGUGGGGAGCAAACAGGAUUAGAUACCCUGGUAGUCCACGCCCUAAACGAUGGAUGCUAGUUGUUGGAGGGCUUAGUCUCUCCAGUAAUGCAGCUAACGCAUUAAGCAUCCCGCCUGGGGAGUACGGUCGCAAGAUUAAAACUCAAAGGAAUAGACGGGGACCCGCACAAGCGGUGGAGCAUGUGGUUUAAUUCGAAGAUACACGAAGAACCUUACCUAGGCUUGACAUUGAGAGAAUCCGCUAGAAAUAGUGGAGUGUCUAGCUUGCUAGACCUUGAAAACAGGUGCUGCACGGCUGUCGUCAGCUCGUGUCGUGAGAUGUUGGGUUAAGUCCCGCAACGAGCGCAACCCCCUUUCUUAGUUGCUAACAGGUCAUGCUGAGAACUCUAAGGAUACUGCCUCCGUAAGGAGGAGGAAGGUGGGGACGAUGUCAAGUCAUCAUGGCCCUUACGCCUAGGGCUACACACGUGCUACAAUGGGGUGCACAAAGAGAAGCAAUACUGCGAAGUGGAGCCAAUCUUCAAAACACCUCUCAGUUCGGAUUGUAGGCUGCAACUCGCCUGCAUGAAGCUGGAAUCGCUAGUAAUCGCAAAUCAGCCAUGUUGCGGUGAAUACGUUCCCGGGUCUUGUACUCACCGCCCGUCACACCAUGGGAGUUGUGUUUGCCUUAAGUCAGGAUGCUAAAUUAGCUACUGCCCACGGCACACACAGCGACUGGGGUGAAGUCGUAACAAGGUAACCGUAGGUGAACCUGCGGUUGGAUCACCUCCUUU